Molecule: transfer RNA, 75 nt
Filed under: Phytomonospora endophytica
Lineage: Bacteria; Bacillati; Actinomycetota; Actinomycetes; Micromonosporales; Micromonosporaceae
Description: Micromonosporaceae bacterium YIM 65646 tRNA
Rfam family: tRNA
About the family: Transfer RNA (tRNA) molecules are approximately 80 nucleotides in length.
Source: Rfam by way of RNAcentral
CCGGACGUAGCGCAGCCCGGCCGGCGCACCGUCUUCGCAGGACGGGGGACGCGGGUUCGAAUCCCGCCGUUCGGG